RNAcentral lists this ribosomal RNA (497 nucleotides) under uncultured bacterium. Its description in RNAcentral is "partial 16S ribosomal RNA". It matches the Rfam family "Bacterial small subunit ribosomal RNA", at positions 28 to 523 of the family's 1533-position model. The record is from RNAcentral.
GAUGAACGCUGGCGGCGUGCUUAACACAUGCAAGUCGAACGAAGCACCUUAGACAGAAGCCUUCGGGCGGAAGACUUUGGUGACUUAGUGGCGGACGGGUGAGUAACGCGUGGGUAACCUGCCCUGUACCGGGGGACAACAGUUGGAAACGACUGCUAAUACCGCAUAAGCGCACAGCAUCGCAUGAUGCAGUGGGAAAAACUCCGGUGGUACAGGAUGGAACCGCGUCUGAUUAGCUAGUUGGUGAGGUAACGGCUUACCAAGGCAACGAUCAGUAGCCGACUUGAGAGAGUGAUCGGCCACAUUGGGACUGAGACACGGCCCAAACUCCUACGGGAGGCAGCAGUGGGGAAUAUUGCACAAUGGGGGAAACCCUGAUGCAGCGACGCCGCGUGAAGGAAGAAGUAUUUCGGUAUGUAAACUUCUAUCAGCAAGGAAGAAAAUGACGGUACUUGACUAAGAAGCCCCGGCUAAAUACGUGCCAGCAGCCGCGGUAA